CCUUAUCUAGUUAAUUAUAUUAGAUAGCUCAAACUCUAUAUGAGGAGGAGCUGUUACAGGAAACAACUGCAGACAUAGCUAGUGAUACUACAAGAUGAAAGGAAAGAUAGAGAAGCUUUGUCCUCAAAAAUAUGAUAUCCGCAGAGACCGUCGACUUCAUUUGCAAGGCCAUCAGCAUUGAGAAGAAGGAUGAGUUCUUGACAAUCCGGAUAACAGGCCAACCUUGAUAC
This 230-nucleotide long non-coding RNA is filed under the name Arabidopsis lyrata. RNAcentral describes it as "long non-coding RNA (ALYR_LNC003441)". The record is from RNAcentral. Lineage: Eukaryota; Viridiplantae; Streptophyta; Magnoliopsida; Brassicales; Brassicaceae.